Molecule: long non-coding RNA, 554 nt
Organism: Manis javanica (Malayan pangolin)
Lineage: Eukaryota; Metazoa; Chordata; Mammalia; Pholidota; Manidae
Source: RefSeq, a predicted model, not a curated record
CACACACACAAAGAGGAAGGAAGCCGGUCAAAACUGCAGACGCCAUGGGAUGACUGUGCCCAGAAAAAUCCAGCUGCUUGGAUUCUAAGCUCAGAUAGUACAGCAGAAAAAUAAGCACAAAACCUGUCUCAGGGAAAAUUUAGGUUUUAUCCUCAGGCUACCAAAGACUGACCAGAAAGAGAUGGGCAUCCCAGGUUCCAAGGAAAGACUCAAAACCUGACCUCCUCAUGGAACAAUGGGCUGUGGUUCACAAGGGUCUCUGAAAUGCUUGGCAUUGCUGCUUGUCUUGUCUCAUUUCCAAACCCUCUGGGGCUUCCAAAAUGCUGAGAAUUAUCUAGAGGACUGACUGUGAAUGGUGACAUAAUGUCUCUCGCUGGACAUAAACAUAAUGAGACCACAUGGGAAGCCUACGUCUGCCCCCCACCCCCUGGCCCUUUGACCCAUUCCUGAAAGUCUUAAAAGACAGAAUCCUAAGCCCUUAAGUGCACCUCCUCUCUGAGGUUGCCCACACUUCCCUUUCUUUGAGUGUGUACUUUUUGUCUUAAAUAAAGACU